Molecule: non-coding RNA, 1817 nt
Organism: Oryctolagus cuniculus (rabbit)
Lineage: Eukaryota; Metazoa; Chordata; Mammalia; Lagomorpha; Leporidae
Source: RefSeq, a predicted model, not a curated record
CCGGAGCUGUGUCGACCUGAGGCCAGGAGCCAGGAACUUCCUCUGGGUCUCCCAUAUGGGUGCAGGGGCCCAAGGACUUGGGCCAUCUUCUGCUGCUUUCCCAGGCCAUAGCAGAGGAAUGGAGCAGCCAGGACUCGAACUGGCGUCCAUAUGGGAUGCAGUGCCGGCAACGCUGGCCCCGCCUGGAUUCUCUGUUGUGUGAAGAUCAGCGCCCCUGAGCCGCUGGGCUCUGCUCACAGAUCUGGUUCUUCCCUGUUCGCCCAGUGACCCCAGUCAUCAACCCAAGUUUCCUCGGGCCCCGGGUCUGCAAAGGGCUUCCGCACCUCCACGGCCUCGGAGCCCCUGAGUGAGUCCUCACAAGCCUCCCCUCCUUCCUUCUCCUCGCAGCUGUGCGUCCCACCCUGGAUGCCCCCAGCCCCUUCCCGGCCGGCCCUGGAGGGAAGCCCUCACCAGAGAGAACCCUGACCUUGGCUGUGAUUCGGAGCAGGCUUCUCGGGAAAACCAGGCUGGGCGCGAACCAGGUCGUCUCGCAGAGGAGUGGCCCCCCGUGACCUCAGGAGGGGGCUGGCCCAGCGUGGGUGUGUGGGGUGGGCGGGGAGAGAGCGGGAGCAGGGGUGCCAUCCCCAGCCAGUGCCCGGCUGCCCGCCCGGGAGCUGGUGGCACUGAGGCAGCCGGCUGGCAGCUUUGCCCUGGGCCUGGCCUGGCUGACCACUGUGGGCCUGGAGGGAGGGGGACCUCGACCACCUCAGCCCCCUGCUUCACACACUCUGCCCCUGCCAUGCACUCCCCCGCCACCAACUGUUCUAGUGGCCACACAAUGCAGCCAUUCAAAUCCACGGACAGAAGAAUAGCCGGCAAAGUCGGGGAAAGUUCACCCAUUCAAUGGAAAAGGCAGGGCACAAAACGGCAGAUGCUCCUUUGGUAAAAUACACAGUCAAACGAACAUGGAAACUGACAUCACACAAACGGAAAAACACCAGCAAACCUGCAAGGGUGUGAGUCCAAACAGAAAACCUGACCGUGAGUGAACCUAAACACCGGGGGUCGCCACAGAGAGGGAAUACUCAGUUUUAUCGGGAAGUUGUAAUCAGGAGAACCUAGGCGGAAAUCAUCACAAGACACUGAGCCCCAAAGCAGUACAGAGAGGUUCAGCAACUUGUCUCAGGUCCCACAGCUCAGAAAGGCAGGGAUGGGGUUGAACCUAAGCAGCCUGGCUGGAGGAAGAGGCACUGGCAGGGACCACAUAUCUGCAGGUGCGGGAGCAGGGAGAGCCGGGCUCCUCUGUGGCUUUCCUCUCUUUCUCUGCCUUUUUGUGUUUUUCAGCUGUUCUGCAAAGAACUGGUUACGUUUGCUGGUAAUGCACCUCCACUCCCACCCCACACAAAAGAAAUGGCAAUCUUGAAAGCAACAAAGCCAGGCUAAAGCCUUCCAGGAAGUGACUCCUCCUGCAGCCCUGGGAAUCCGGCCUGCCCAGGGCUGGUGAUCAAAGGGUGUGCCCAUUCUUGGUGAUGACUGCGGAAAUAUUGGCGUGUGCGCGGGACCAGCUUCUUUGCUCAUGGACAUUUAGGUUCUUCAGGUCAUUCCAACAUGGCGGCAGCCUCGGCUCGUCCAUCACGCAUAAUAUGGAAACUCCAUGAAACCUUCCCAGAGAUCACCGAGUACACUGAAGCCCCGCCCAGACUCCACCUGCUUUAUGGGGCCACCCGGUAAAGAGACAGUCGGAAGUUACCGGUGCGGCCGCUGGGAGGAAGGCUGCCCAGUCGCUUGGGAGUGCGGAGUACCGCCUUAAUCCCUUUAAAUAAACCCUGCUCUCGUUC